This 420-nucleotide ribosomal RNA is filed under the name bacterium. Its description in RNAcentral is "partial 16S ribosomal RNA". It matches the Rfam family "Bacterial small subunit ribosomal RNA", at positions 355 to 776 of the family's 1533-position model. The record is from RNAcentral.
UGGGGGAUAUUGCACAAUGGGCGAAAGCCUGAUGCAGCGACGCCGCGUGGGGGAUGAAGGCUUUCGGGUUGUAAACCUCUUUCGCUAUCGAACAAGGCCCGCUUAGGGUGGGUUGAGGGUAGGUGGAGAAGAAGCGCCGGCUAACUACGUGCCAGCAGCCGCGGUAAUACGUAGGGCGCGAGCGUUGUCCGGAAUUAUUGGGCGUAAAGGGCUUGUAGGCGGCUUGUUGCGCCUGCUGUGAAAACGCGGGGCUUAACUUCGCGCGUGCAGUGGGUACGGGCAGGCUUGAGUGUGGUAGGGGUGACUGGAAUUCCAGGUGUAGCGGUGGAAUGCGCAGAUAUCUGGAGGAACUCCGAUGGCGAAGGCAGGUCACUGGGCCAUUACUGACGCUGAGGAGCGAAAGCAUGGGUAGCGAACAGG